Molecule: ribosomal RNA, 451 nt
Filed under: uncultured bacterium
Lineage: Bacteria
Description: partial 16S ribosomal RNA
Rfam family: Bacterial small subunit ribosomal RNA
Source: RNAcentral
AGCGAACGCUGGCGGCAUGCCUAACACAUGCAAGUCGCACGGGGGGGCGUCGGCCUCCCAGUGGCGGACGGGGGAGGAACGCGGAGGGACCCGUCGAGGGGAGGUGGAUAACCGCGGGAAACAGCGGCGAAUACCGCAUGACGCCGCGGCGUGACAGCCGGGGCCAAAGGCGAAAGCCGACCGCCGAGGGGCCUGCGUCCGAUUAGCAGGGUGGCGGGGUAGCUGCCCACCAAGGCGUCGAACGGUAGCUGGUCUGAGAGGGUGAUCCGCCACCCCGGGACUGAGCCACGGCCCGGACUCCUACGGGAGGCAGCAGUGGGGAAUAUUGGACCAUGGGCGCAAGCCUGAUCCAGCACUGCCGCGUGGGUGAAGAAGGUCUUCGGAUUGUAAAGCCCUUUCGGCGGGGACGAUGGUGACGGUACCCGCAGAAGAAGCCCCGGCUAACUUCGUG